This 482-nucleotide ribosomal RNA is filed under the name uncultured bacterium. Its description in RNAcentral is "partial 16S ribosomal RNA". It matches the Rfam family "Bacterial small subunit ribosomal RNA", at positions 30 to 507 of the family's 1533-position model. The record is from RNAcentral.
AUUGAACGCUGGCGGCAUGCUUUACACAUGCAAGUCGAACGGUAACAGGCCGCAAGGUGCUGACGAGUGGCGAACGGGUGAGUAAUGCAUCGGAACGUGCCCAGUCGUGGGGGAUAACUACUCGAAAGAGUAGCUAAUACCGCAUACGAUCUAUGGAUGAAAGCGGGGGACCGUAAGGCCUCGCGAGAUUGGAGCGGCCGAUGUCAGAUUAGGUAGUUGGUGGGGUAAAGGCUCACCAAGCCAACGAUCUGUAGCUGGUCUGAGAGGACGACCAGCCACACUGGGACUGAGACACGGCCCAGACUCCUACGGGAGGCAGCAGUGGGGAAUUUUGGACAAUGGGCGCAAGCCUGAUCCAGCAAUGCCGCGUGCAGGAAGAAGGCCUUCGGGUUGUAAACUGCUUUUGUACGGAACGAAACGGCUCUGGUUAAUACCCGGGGCUAAUGACGGUACCGUAAGAAUAAGCACCGGCUAACUACGUG